RNAcentral lists this ribosomal RNA (398 nucleotides) under Rhyncogonus pectoralis. RNAcentral describes it as "partial 16S ribosomal RNA". It matches the Rfam family "Archaeal large subunit ribosomal RNA", at positions 1948 to 2634 of the family's 2987-position model. Lineage: Eukaryota; Metazoa; Arthropoda; Insecta; Coleoptera; Curculionidae. The record is from RNAcentral.
AACCUGCCCACUGAGAAUUUAAAUGGCCGCGGUAUUUUGACCGUGCAAAGGUAGCAUAAUAAUUAGUUUUUUAAUUGAAAGCUGGAAUGAAAGGUUGGAUGAGAAAAUAACUGUCUCUAUUUACAUUAAUUAGAAUUUUAUUUUUAAGUAAAAAAGCUUAAAUAAAAAUAGAAGACGAGAAGACCCUAUAGAGUUUUAAUUUAGUUGGGGUGAUUGAAAAAUUUAAUAAACUUUUUUUAUGUUCGACCAUUAAUUUAUGAAUGAUUGAUCCUUAAAUUAAGAUUAAAAGAAAAAAUUACCUUAGGGAUAACAGCGUAAUUUUUUUAGAGAGUUCAAAUCGAAAAAAAAGAUUGCGACCUCGAUGUUGGAUUAAAAUUAAAUUUUGGUGUAGAAGCUAG